UACAGAGGGGGCAAGCGUUGUUCGGAAUUACUGGGCGUAAAGGGCGCGUAGGCGGCCUGUUAAGUCGAACGUGAAAUCCCCGGGCUCAACCCGGGAACUGCGUCCGAUACUGGCAGGCUUGAAUCCGGGAGAGGGAUGCGGAAUUCCAGGUGUAGCGGUGAAAUGCGUAGAUAUCUGGAGGAACACCGGUGGCGAAGGCGGCAUCCUGGACCGGCAUUGACGCUGAGGCGCGAAAGCCAGGGGGAGCAAACGGG
Molecule: ribosomal RNA, 254 nt
Filed under: uncultured bacterium
Lineage: Bacteria
Description: partial 16S ribosomal RNA
Rfam family: Bacterial small subunit ribosomal RNA
Source: RNAcentral